CCUCAAUAUAAAUACUGUUCCAGAUUGGCUAGCAGAACUUGCUAUCGAUUGUCCCUGUUCACAGACAGCUAAACCAACAAGAGGACCACCUCUGUGCAUAACGAUUAACAAUGCUUCGACCCUCCAUUCUGCUAGCAUCCCAUAUCUUAAUGCAUCCAUCCGCCGAAGAACUAGCAAAGAGACUACUGUCUGGAAUAGACACUAAUCUAUUAACUGCAGCUCUAUGUUCGUGGAGAUGAGCAACGGGAACACCUCGUGGUCUCCAUCCACUUGGUAGUAAUCUAGAGCCUUUUGUUACCAUUGGCAUUAAUUAAAUAAAUAAUAGGUAAGCAGUAUUGCUUCUGAGAAAUAUAUAAUCACUUUUAUUUA
Molecule: long non-coding RNA, 369 nt
Organism: Vespula vulgaris
Lineage: Eukaryota; Metazoa; Arthropoda; Insecta; Hymenoptera; Vespidae
Exons: 2
Source: RefSeq, a predicted model, not a curated record